This is a long non-coding RNA of Vigna unguiculata (cowpea), 234 nucleotides long. Lineage: Eukaryota; Viridiplantae; Streptophyta; Magnoliopsida; Fabales; Fabaceae. The record is from RefSeq and is a predicted model, not a curated record.
UAUUGCUGGUAAAAACAAUAGGGCUGUCAAGCCAGAGGCUAUGGUGCACACUGGAGGGUCAAUAAGCUUUGGACAACACUUGAAAAAGAUGGAGGCAGAGCGUAAUGGGUCUGUUUCUUAUGGUGAACUAUACAACAAAGUUCAUAAAAAAAAAGACGGUCAAUAUGUUUCCAAUAAAGCAAAAAAUUUCAAUGAAUCAUAUGAAAGUGCUAUGGUAGAAAAAUAUGCAGAAGA